UUGGUGCACGUGCUCCGGGCUGGGGGGCUGGCCUCUUAAAAUCCAGUGGGUGUGGGGCCGGGGCCCUCUGCUGGGGUCAUCUCUGAAUCCUAUUAGUUCUUUGAAAUCAUUAAAACCGUGUGUGGCUCAUGAGAGUCUUGGCACUGCAUUAACACAACUUCUACAGUCCUGGAAGGAAGUAUUCAGUUCUCCGGGAACAGUCCUGCUCCAACGGCCUCGGCUCCACCCAGACACUGAGAACCUCUUCUUAGCUGAGGUCGAGCAGGAACAGAAAUCGGGAAGUACUGAUCUGUGAUUCAACAGUCUUGCACAAUUCACAGCGUGGAGACCCAAUUCUUAUUCACCUUCUGGUAAAUGGAGCCACCAGACUCUGCCCCACUUUCACUUCUGCGUGAAGCUGGACUUGCAGUUGCUUAUUUAAGCAACAAAAUUUCAGCCACAUCUGCCAUCUUCCAGUAAUUCGCCAAAAUGACCAACACAAAGGGAAAGAGGAGAGGCACCUGCUAUAGCCUCUCUAAGCCUCUCAGAAAAUGUGGAGUCGUUCCUUUGGCCACAUAAGUGCAAAUCCACAAGAAAGGUAACACUGUGGCAGAUCUGGAAGAGUCUGUGUGUCACCCAGCAUGCUGUGCGCAUCAUUGUAAACACACAAGUUAAGGGCAGGUUUCCUGCCAAGAGAAUUAAUGUGCCCAAUGAGUGUAUUAAGCACUCAAAAUGCCGAGCUAGCUUCCUGAGGCGUGUGAAGGAAAAUGAUCAGAAAGAGAAGGAAGCUGAAGAGAAAGGUACUCGGGUACUUGGUUCCAUUCGAGUUAAUCUGUCCCACCCAGAGAUGCACCCUGUGAGAACCAUGGAAAGGAGCCUGAGCAGCGGGAACCCAUUCCCUACGGAUUCAUGGCCUGAUAACUGUAAAAAAAAAAAAAAAAAAAAAAAAAAGAGACCUCAAGACUAUAAAACCGUUUCUCUUUGUUGAGUAGAAGUGUGGUGUCCCCUCCCCCAAAGAAAUAUUUAAAGCAAACUUUGGUUGUGUCCUAAUUCAUUGGGUGAUGUCUUCACUCAAAUUUAGUGUUUUUUUUUUUUCUUGCUGAAAGAUGUGGUUUAUUGUGCAACAGAAUAUAUUCAACUGGUGAGGGAACUGCCAGAUAUUACUUAUAAAAUAUCUAUAGUAGUUUGAAAAUAGUCCCUCUAAAUCACCAAGAGAAAAGAAUUUUAAAAAUAAACAACAGAUUAUUUGCUCUAAGUCAGGCUCAGAGAAAACUGAGUACUCAUAAUUGUGUCCUGUCUUAAACAGCUGUGUUUUAAGCAUAAGGACCUUGCCUUUGAAGCCUGAUACUUAAAAAUAGAUUGUUUACAGCACCCUGGUUCCUACUAAAAUGUUUUCCCUGACAUUUCCUUUUACUGUUUUCAUACAUGGCCCUCUAGCGACUGGGAAACAUGUUUUAUUGGAACUGCUCUUUCUGGCCCUGUUCAUUUGUACUUGCUUUUGCUUGAAAUACCUGUACUUUCUUUGUUCAGUAGGUGAAUCCCUGCCUGUCCUUUGUCCAACCUGAGUGUCCAGGUGAACCUUCCCUGACCCAAGUAUUUUUAGGAGAAAUGAAAGUGCUUGGAAUCAGAGGAGAGAGCUUACUCCUGCUUUGGGAUGCAGAAUAAAAUCCCUUCUAUCUCUUCCCCUGUCGUGGGGACACGGCAGGCAUGUUUGUUUUUCUUGUGGGUUUUAUAAUUUUUAAAAAGUUCUGUCUUCCCCAUGAGACCUGAGGUUAGAGACUGUGUUUUAGUAAACUUCACACUCCUAGGGACUGGCACACAGUGAGCAUUUAAAAAAUGCACUUUGAAUUAAG
Zalophus californianus (California sea lion) is the source of this 1832-nucleotide long non-coding RNA. RefSeq lists it as uncharacterized. The transcript has 3 exons. NCBI's taxonomy places the organism in Eukaryota, Metazoa, Chordata, Mammalia, Carnivora, Otariidae. The record is from RefSeq and is a predicted model, not a curated record.